Long non-coding RNA from Panicum hallii, 473 nucleotides. RefSeq lists it as uncharacterized. The transcript has 3 exons. Lineage: Eukaryota; Viridiplantae; Streptophyta; Magnoliopsida; Poales; Poaceae. The record is from RefSeq and is a predicted model, not a curated record.
ACCCUAUUGACGUGACAGAAGGGCGCGAGGCGACGGCGACCAACGACCGCAUCCCGUUCGACGCCCACGCCUUUGCCCCCUUCUCGCCGAUCCCUCCCGCACCGGUUCGAGUUGGAGAAGGUGAAGCUCCCCCUUCUUGGGAUCCAUCUAAGUAGUCAUACAUUGAUUUCACUGCAUAUUUAUUGAGGUUGAGGAAAGCGAUGAUCUGCUGCAUAAAGUAGCUACAGUGGUUUGGCGCAUUUGAUGAAGCGCACGUAGCCAGUAGACUAGACUUUUGUCAUUUUGUGAUGGCUGAGCAUGAUUUGGUUGUAGCUCUUGUUGAAACCCAAAUUAGCUAGUUAACUGCAAUGUCUCAGCUUUGCUUGGUUGUAGCUCUUGCCGUAGUAUGGAAUGCAUUGCCUGAACUUACCAAGGAAACAAGGUUUGAAGGAGCAGAAUCAUUUAUCUAGGAAAUGAAAUGCUUCCCUAUUAAA